This 3858-nucleotide long non-coding RNA is filed under the name Sus scrofa (pig). Its description in RNAcentral is "lncRNA (ENSSSCG00025000817.1, ENSSSCG00035077007.1, ENSSSCG00045010045.1)". Lineage: Eukaryota; Metazoa; Chordata; Mammalia; Artiodactyla; Suidae. The record is from RNAcentral.
CGCUAGGGAUGGUUCAGCGAGGAGAGUUCCCUGCGCGCCGCCUUCUACAUACCACCCGCGCACCCUCCUGGAGGAAGCCGCCGAGCCGAGGCGCGUCGAAGGAAGGCGGCCACCCAACUUUCCCGAGCAUCAUAUAGAAGUUCUCCGGGCUAGGGGUCCAAAUUGGAACUGCAGCUGAGGCCUUAUACCACAGCAACACCAGACCCAGCCUCAUCUGAGACCUACCUACCCACUGGAAGCUUAUGGCAACACUGGAUCCUUAACCCACCAAACCAGGCCAGAUAUCAAGCCCACAUUCUCCCAGAGACAACGUCGUUGGAUCCUUAAUCCACUGAGCUACAGUGGGAAGUCCAAGCCAUACUCGACUCCUGGUUGUCCUUGGAACAAGCCAAACUUGGCUCCCAACCUCAAGGCUGGUCUCUCAGGAAUGCUCUUUUCAGAACCAUCUGCUUCUCCUCAGUCAUGGCUUAGACAAAAGCCACAUUCUGAGAGCACCUGUCUUUGACCUCUCUGUCCAAGGUAGUUACCUCGGCACUCUCAAUUACAGUCUCCUGUUUUAUUAUAUAUUUUUUAAUUUUUUAAAUUAAAAAAAAAAAUUUUUUUUUGGUCUUUUUUUGCCAUUUCUUGGGCCGCUCCUGUGGCCUGGAGGUUCCCAGGCUAGGGGUCUAAUCAGAGCUGUAGCUGCCAGCCUACACCAGAGCUACAGUAACGCAGGAUCCGAGCCAUGUCUGCAACCUAUACCACAGCUCAUGGCAACACUGGAUCCUUAACCCACUGAGCAAGCCAAGGAUCGAACCCGCAACCUCAUGGUUCCUAGUCAGAUGCGUUAACCACUGAGCCACGACAGGAACUCCUCCUGUUUUACUUUUUCUCAUGGAGCUUAUGACUAUCUCAAAUUAUCCUGUUUGUUUACUUAUUUAUUUCCUUUAUCCUCAACUAAUAUGUAAGCCCCAUGAGAACAGGCAUCAGGCUUUUUCUUUGCAGUAUCUGGAACACCUAGAAUAAUGCCUACACGUUUAGUUGCUACAUACGUAUCUGUGGAGUGAAGGACUGAAACCAUUAGUAAGAGAUGGCUGAAGCACAUUGCUGAGAAUUCUGAAGCCACAUCCUGGCUUACAAAGGAGGCUGUGAUUGACAAGUAAUGUCUGCCCUGAGCACAGGAAGGAGAAAUGAUCACAACAAUACUGUAUUAGACAUCCUGCAUGUGUCCUUUGGUGGGCAGUGGCCCAAGCCUAGUCUACUAAAACCUCAGAUGGGUCUGAUGAUACAACAGGAAGUAGAACACAAAAUUAUGUCACCAUGGAAUGGCUGAACUGCCAACAUACCCACUUCCUCUGGCAUACCUCUGAAAAGCCCAGAAAGAUUGAAAAGGUGGGUGAUAUUAGGGCUCCGAGCUUCUCUAACCUAGCAAGUUCCUCAUUCCACAGAGGUUUUCAGAGCCACUAAGUAUCAGGUGCACCUUCAUGAAGAACUAGGAAGGCAACAAGGCAUUGUUGCCACUCACUAGUAUCCUUGUUUGGCUUAUCUGUCAGCAAAACAAAAGGAAAAGUGAUUUACAAUCCAAGAGCUGAACUUUAAAUCUGUAAGGGCCUUGGAGGUCCAGCCGGACUUAGGAGCCCCUGAAUAUUUUUGAGUACUGGAGUUACAAGGGCAAAAAGCAAGAUGCCUCAACUUAUGUUAAGAAAACGGCAGUAUUAAUCAACCAUCAACUGAUGUGGCAAUAAAGUGAGGAGGAGACACUAGAACCUGGAAGAUCACUUUGAAAGCAACUAGAGUAAAGCAGAUAAUGAGUUAAGGAAGGCUUCUGCCUAGCAUGGCGAAAAAUGCCAAGAAAAAGGAGCAAAAGAGGGGAGGCAAUACAAAAGAUUGACUGCAUCUGGGAGGUAAGUGAGAAGGAAAAGUAAAGGAUGAUUUAAAUGUUUUGAGCUGAGUUGAAAAUAAAAAUGACACCACCAUUGAUUCUCCUGAGUAUGUCAGGAGGUGUAAUUAAUUUUUGAUAAAAGAUGAAUUCAGUGCUAAGUACAUUACAUUUGAAGUGUCAGUCGAAUGUGUAAGCAAGGAUAUUAAGCAAAUAAUUGGAGUUAUAGCUUUGAAGCUCAGCAGGCAGUUACAGACUAGAGAUUUGGAUCAGAAAGUUUGAUGCCAGGAUAGUGGAUAAGAUAAGAGCCUUCAAGAAAGAAACAACUUAACGCCAAGGGCUGAGACGCAUCUCCAUCUGUGGGGUGUGGGUAGGAUGGAAUAAAAAGGAAAGGGAAAAAAAAGAACCCACAGGGAGGGCCAGAGAUCCUAGGGUAAUGUGUUUUUCAAGCUAAGGAGAUGAGCAUUUCAAAAAGGAAAGAUGAUCAAACUUAGUGAGAAAAGACAACUGACCUAGAAAUUAGAUCAUUUGGUGACUAUGAAGACAGAUGUUUUAAGUCAUAAUGGGGUUUAAGCCAGAUUACAAUGUAAGGCAUUAAGUGAGUCUGUGUGAGGUGAAAAAAUAAAGGCCACAAGUACAAAUUCCUCUAACAAGCCAGCUGGGGAAGGAAUGAGAAAGGAUGCUAACUUGAGGGGUUAGCAGAGUUCAGAGAAAAUAUUUUCAAGAUGAGAAACUCUAUGUAUUUUGUACACAGAGGUGGAAAGUUUAAGGAAAAGGAGAACUGGAAGUUUCAGGGGAAAGAUGAAUCAGCUGUGAUCUAAGACAAGCUGAUCACGGGCUUUUAAGGUGCCACAUAUUAAACAUGGAGACAGUAAGACCAGAAAACAAGAGUGUGCAGCUGGAAUGCUGUAACAGUGGAAAAGGAGCAAAAACAAGUGCUCUGGGGUGGUGGACAAAAAGCCGCUAAAAAGGCAGCAAAAGGCAAGUGGGUUCCCAGGAAGCUGCAGCUCUGCUGAGCUCUCUGGAGCUCAAGUAGACAUUAGCUUGGAAUCUGUGUGUUUCUGACAUUCCUGGACGCUUUCAUCUCUUUCGAGUGGAGCAGAAGGCAUAAGGGUUGGGUCCUUUACUUCCCGCUCUGCCCUGUCCUCCUAAGUAACAUCACUGCCUCCUUAGACUGGAACUGACUUGCACACCAGCUAAACCCAUCUUGACACGAAGUUCAUGUCUAGUGAAGGGAGCCUGGCCAUCAGGGACUUAGGGCACUGGGCUGCUGGACUUUUCCCGCACAGCUUCCCCCAGUACAGAAAGGAGAGACAUCUGUUUAGCGAAGUUGAGAGGUUAGUGUAUGGAAAGGAAAUGAAAAUGAAGACCCAUGAGUGAGCGGAGGGAGAGAUGCCUGAGAAGCAAGAUGGGUUACCCAACAUCGCUCCAGAAAGGCUCAAGAUCUGAGAUACUAGGAAAGGAGAGGGGCAGCUGGAGGCCUCAAGAUGGAGUGGUUAGAUCCCAGUUUUUCAUCCUAAGCACAGUCUGGCUCUACACAUCCCCUAGCUCCACAAGGAACUUGUUCUCUCCAGAGGAAUGGAAGCGAAGAGGCUACAGCAGGGUGGCAUCCAUCGAGAAGAGCGUGAGUGAAGCCUGGGACAAAAAUUAACAAAGUCUGUCGACUUCUGCAUAUCCAGCAGUGGGCCUCCCAGCCUUCUUUCCCAGGCUAGCUCCGGGACUCCAUCAGAGCUCUUCUGUCACAGGCCUUGCCUAUACACAUAAAGAUACCAGACAGCUGGAGUUACUGCUAUGGUGCAACGGGAUCAGCGGUGUCUCUUCAGCGCCAGGAUGCAGGUCAAACCCCAUCCUGGCACAAUGGUUAAAGGAUCUGGUGUUGCCACGGCUGUGGGUUAAGUCGCAAAUGCUGCUUAGAUCUGAUCCCUGGCGCUUAAACUCCCUAUGCUGUGGGGUGGCCAAUAAAGAAAAAAAAAGAAAAAAGAAAGGAAAAAAAAAAAAAG